AUCUGUCACACUUUCUCACAUCUUGUAGGUUACUUUAAGGCUUUCUGGGUUGGUUACUCACCUUCCUGUCUAAACAGAUACUCUGUCAGAGUGAAGCAGAAGUUGGAUGCCACAAAUGCUGACAUGAAGCAGAGUUAGAGUAUUUUAUGUUAUCAUCAACUUGUAAGUCUAUGAAUACAAAUCAUACUAUUGCUCCUCAUUCAUGACUCUUGCGCUAAAACUGAACAACAUCUCAGCAUGACUGUGUCAACACUGUGUUUGGAUUUGGUAUGUAUACUAUUUAUAGCCUCCCAAUGCCAAAGUAAAAUUCCACCCUUGAAAAAUGGAAGUUGUUCAGCAGGUAAACAGACAUGCCUCCCACUAACUAAAAUAAAAACAAUAGUAAAACCACAUGAAAAACACCCAUUAUGGAUGGACCUUUGUGGAAUAAAUAUAAUAUAUUUGCUGAAAAUAAAUUAACCAAAAUUCAAGUGUUUUAUCUUAUUAUUUGACCUUUCCUCCAGGAUAUUACAAAUUAAAACAUGACUGUGUGAUGUGUGGGAGCGGUUUUUACACUGCCUUACCAAAUAAUCUAAAAUAUUGUUUAAGAUGUACGCCGUGUGAUUGGGAUGGUAAGUAACAUACCAGAAUGC
RNAcentral lists this long non-coding RNA (632 nucleotides) under Sinocyclocheilus anshuiensis. RNAcentral describes it as "lncRNA (ENSSANG00000040622.1)". Lineage: Eukaryota; Metazoa; Chordata; Actinopteri; Cypriniformes; Cyprinidae. The record is from RNAcentral.